GAAUGAUGUGAGGAACAUUUUUGUUUUGAUUGCUGUGAUGAUGGCAAUUUUUGUAUUAGCUCUAUCUGAUCAUUC
Cucumis sativus (cucumber) is the source of this 75-nucleotide non-coding RNA. The record is from Rfam. NCBI's taxonomy places the organism in Eukaryota, Viridiplantae, Streptophyta, Magnoliopsida, Cucurbitales, Cucurbitaceae.